This 432-nucleotide ribosomal RNA is filed under the name uncultured bacterium. RNAcentral describes it as "partial 16S ribosomal RNA". It matches the Rfam family "Bacterial small subunit ribosomal RNA", at positions 28 to 507 of the family's 1533-position model. The record is from RNAcentral.
GGUGAACGCUGGCGGUAUGCUUAACACAUGCAAGUCGAACGGUCACUUCGGUGAUAGUGGCGGACGGGUGAGUAACGCGUGAGAAUCUGUCUUCAGGUCGGGGACAACAGUUAGAAAUGACUGCUAAUACCGGAUGUGCCUUUGGGUGAAAGAUUUAUUGCCUGAAAAAGAGCUCGCGUCAGAUUAGCUAGUAGGUGGUGUAAGAGACUACCUAGGCUCCGAUCUGUAGCUGGUCUGAGAGGACGAUCAGCCACACUGGAACUGAGACACGGUCCAGACUCCUACGGGAGGCAGCAGUGGGGAAUUUUCCGCAAUGGGCGAAAGCCUGACGGAGCAAUACCGCGUGAGGGACGAAGGCUUUUGGGUCGUAAACCUCUUUUCUCAAGGAAGAUGAUGACGGUACUUGAGGAAUAAGCAUCGGCUAACUCUGUG